CGGCAAACGGCGUAGUAAUGCGUAGGUACGUACCCUCAGAUCGGGAAUAGCCAUGGGAAACCGUGGGUAAUGCCCGAUAAUGUCUGUGGACCAAAGGUGAGAUUCCGUCUGAGGAGCGGCUUACGUGAUAUUAGCUUGCUGGUGGGGUAACGGCCUACCAGGGCGACGAUGUCUAGGGGGUGUGAGAGCAUGGCCCCCACGACCGGAACUGAGACACUGUCCGGACACCUACGGGUGGCUGCAGUCGAGAAUCUUCCGCAAUGGACGAAAGUCUGACGGAGCGACGCCGCGUGCGGGAUGAAGGCCCUUGGGUUGUAAACCGCUGUCAGAGGGGAUGAAAUCAUGGUAGGCCAUCCUUCCAUGUUGACAGAGCCUCAGAGGAAGCACGGGCUAAGUACGUGCCAGCAGCCGCGGUAAC
This 418-nucleotide ribosomal RNA is filed under the name uncultured bacterium. RNAcentral describes it as "bacterial SSU rRNA". It matches the Rfam family "Bacterial small subunit ribosomal RNA", at positions 96 to 524 of the family's 1533-position model. The record is from RNAcentral.